This 73-nucleotide transfer RNA is filed under the name Myotis brandtii (Brandt's bat). It matches the Rfam family "tRNA". Rfam says of the family: Transfer RNA (tRNA) molecules are approximately 80 nucleotides in length. Their secondary structure includes four short double-helical elements and three loops (D, anti-codon, and T loops). The record is from Rfam by way of RNAcentral. Lineage: Eukaryota; Metazoa; Chordata; Mammalia; Chiroptera; Vespertilionidae.
GGCUGGGUGGCUCAGUUGGUUAGAGCAUUGUCUCCUACACCAAAAGAUUUGGGUUCAAUUCCCGGUUAGGGCA